Cuculus canorus (common cuckoo) is the source of this 2766-nucleotide long non-coding RNA. RefSeq lists it as uncharacterized. The transcript has 3 exons. NCBI's taxonomy places the organism in Eukaryota, Metazoa, Chordata, Aves, Cuculiformes, Cuculidae. The record is from RefSeq and is a predicted model, not a curated record.
AAAAGCAAAAGAAUCCCUACUUGCUCCACUCCUCGGCUCCCAGAUUCCCAGUUUCACUUAUCCUAUUCUGGAAUUGGUUCAACCUGGAGUUAAAGAUGGCAAAGAAGCCAAGAUGGAAACAACGAAUCCAACAUUCCGGUGCUCAACGUUCCCAAGAAAUCAUGGUGAUUCCACUCCAAUAAAUACUUUAAUAAACAAUCCGGCCUAUUGCUAGAGCUGGAAUCCUCCCGGAAGCAGCUUGUGUGGCCUCAGGACCACAGGAAUGACAGGAUAUAGGCAUGGGAAUGAUGGGAUGAGGCAGUGGGAAUGAUAAAAGGCGGCCGCAACGAUGCUUGGCAUGGAAAACCCUUCUUUCCUGAUGGUUAUCCCGCUGUUCAGACCACAGGGAUGCGUUGCUAGGGAGGAAAAAGGAGGGGUGAGAGAAUUCCAGAGGGAUUUGGGGGCAGAAUAUUCUCUGGAAAGAAAUAAUCCCACUUUUUACAGCUUCAGUUUGGGAAUGAGCACAAGGAAGGGACGAAUGAGCUGCUUUACCAGCACUUGGAGCUGUUAAUCAAGGUAUUAAUCAUUCCUUGGGAAGAAACUCUGGCAAAACGAAGCCACUACGCAGGAAAACAGGUGGAUUUUCCCAUUUUUAGGGAUAAAAGGAGGUUUUGGACGCUCUGCAUCCGGAGACGCAACCCAGGGAGUCCCUUUUUCCUCUAAAAAAAAUGGAUUUAAGCCUUGACCUGUGUGAAAAUCUAAGGGUUUUUGGCACAAGGGGUGCAGCCGACCGUGAAAUCCGCCACCCCGGAACGCGAGCCGGGAUGCCGGAGCGGAUCCGUGUAUGCUGAGAGAAGGGAGAGGGUUGGUUUUUGGAUUGUGGAGGGGUGAAAAGGCCUUUUUAUGCAGCAAAUUCAAGCGCAAAAGCUCUGGAUUGGGAUUUAAUCCCAGGAAAACAAACGCUGACUUGGGAGUUUUAUGGGAUUUUGAGGAAUAUGUAUCAUAGGAAUGGAAACCACGUGUGAAGAUCUUUGGGAUUUACACUCUCUGCCUCAAAAGUGGGUGAACACAAGAGUUUUAAGUGGAAUUUUAGGGAUGGAGGGAAUGAGCAGAGGGCAAAAAGGUAGAAAAAUCAACUUUAAAAGGAAAAUUAACCACAAAACACCCAGAAAAGGUGGAUUUGGAGUGAAAUUCAGGCAGGAGUCACUCAUCCCAGCAGGAAACAACCUUCCAUGACCUCUUUCCCAGCAGGAUUUAAACCCCUAUGGUGCUGAGUUAAGCGGAAUUCUGCUCCUUUUAGGGCAGAAAUGUCAUUUUUUCGCAUUCGCUGCCUUUCCACGGAAAACCCAAGGCGAGGUUUUUCCAGCUCAAGGGGAUCCAACCUGGAUUUAACAUCCCGGGAGAAGUUUAGGGCUAAGAUCUUGCUCAGAGGAGCUGGAUCCUACCCCAGCAUCACCCCAGAGAUGCCAAUUCCCGUGAUCCCUGGUCUUUCUCCCACAAUACGGAUCGUUCCGGAUUAAUCCCAAGGGAAAGGAGUUCUCCAGCCCUCCUCGUGUUUGAUUCCGAAGCCAUCAAUCAAGAAAUAAAGGCAGCUCGGCUUUAAAAGCAGCGGGGCCUCAUUCCAGCCGUGCGGAAUGGGGCAAAAGUCAUGGGAAUGAAUCGGCUUUUUCGACCUUUGCCAUAAUUGACGUUGGAUUUUGCCACCACGGGAAGAAAAAAGUAGGAAAACGAUCCCGUUAGCCCAUCACUGGGCUUUCGCCUCCCUAAAAUUCCAUUUUUUUAAGGAAGGAUGAAGCUUGUGGUCACAGCUCAAGAUUUUUCUGGGAAUGCUAAUCCCAAAUCUUCCCACUCCUUGAAAUCCCAACAUCCUCAAGGCCGCAGCAACAGGAAACAUCCCAAAGCCCGGAAAACCAAACUGGAGUCUGAGAUUUGCUUUAAACAAGACCCAAGGAACAAUUCCACCCUUGGAAAAGAACAUUCCAAAGCGAAUCCUGGUUGGGCCUGUUGCUAUUGGGAGUUACUCCAGUUUUCCGGGCUGUUUAAUGCGAAUUUGCAGGAUGGAAAAGGUCAUUCCCUAUGGAAGAGGUCAUUCCCUAUGGAAAAAAGGAAUAAAAACAAAGAGGGGAAGAACCCACCACAGUUUCAGUGUGCUUAGUGGGAACAGUGCAGGAUUUUCCACCUGGGAAUGACAUCGAGCGGCUAAAACAGGGCGAUAGUGUGUGGGUUUGGGUCUCUGCGAACAUUUAAUCCCAAGAAAUUCCCAUUUUUGGGAUGAGGAAGGGAAGAACCAACACUGCACGUGGUGUUUUUUACUUGGACAGUGUGUGAAACCGGAGCUUUUCCCAACCUGAGCCGCGAGGGAAUGGGAAAAGGGGGACGGAAAAGCGAGGAGGCUAAGGAGGUUUGUUCAGAACUGGGUGCUUAAACUGUACAUCGUUAAUUCUGUUUCUCUAAUUAUCCGUACACUGGGAUGGGCCGGGGGGGAAUGUGUGAUGAUAUUUGGGAAUCGGUGCUUUUUGCCACCUGAUUUUUUCACUUUUUUUUUCUUUUUUGACACAUUCGGAGUGAUUUAAGAAGACUUUUAAACAUCUUUUCGUUAAACCCGGCGGGCAGCCGGGUUUUUCUGCUCACCGGAAUGGGAUGAGGAUGAAGUUUUGCCGGACAAAGACACUCACAUCGGGGUUAAAAGGGGGAAGAACUUAUCUUGGAGCCCUGCUUAUGCACAAGAGACCCUGCCGGUGGCUUCGGGAUUCGGUUGGUGGUGGGAAAAAAAGGCAGGAAAAGGCA